Molecule: ribosomal RNA, 497 nt
Filed under: uncultured bacterium
Lineage: Bacteria
Description: partial 16S ribosomal RNA
Rfam family: Bacterial small subunit ribosomal RNA
Source: RNAcentral
GGCGAACGCUGGCGGCGUGCCUAAUACAUGCAAGUUGAGCGCUGAAGGUUGGUACUUGUACCAACUGGAUGAGCAGCGAACGGGUGAGUAACGCGUGGGGAAUCUGUCUUUGAGCGGGGGACAACAUUUGGAAACGAAUGCUAAUACCGCAUAAAAACUUUAAACACAAGUUUUAAGUUUGAAAGAUGCAAUUGCAUCACUCAAAGAUGAUCCCGCGUUGUAUUAGCUAGUUGGUGAGGUAAAGGCUCACCAAGGCGAUGAUACAUAGCCGACCUGAGAGGGUGAUCGGCCACAUUGGGACUGAGACACGGCCCAAACUCCUACGGGAGGCAGCAGUAGGGAAUCUUCGGCAAUGGACGAAAGUCUGACCGAGCAACGCCGCGUGAGUGAAGAAGGUUUUCGGAUCGUAAAACUCUGUUGGUAGAGAAGAACGUUGGUGAGAGUGGAAAGCUCAUCAAGUGACGGUAACUACCCAGAAAGGGACGGCUAACUACGUG